Molecule: ribosomal RNA, 307 nt
Filed under: uncultured bacterium
Lineage: Bacteria
Description: partial 16S ribosomal RNA
Rfam family: Bacterial small subunit ribosomal RNA
Source: RNAcentral
AGACAGCAGCCGCCGCGGUAAUACGUAGGUGGCAAGCGUUGUCCGGAAUUAUUGGGCGUAAAGCGCGCGCAGGCGGCCUAUCCAGUCUGUCUUAAAAGUUCGGGGCUUAACCCCGUGAUGGGAUGGAAACUGCCAAUCUAGAGUAUCGGAGAGGAAAGUGGAAUUCCUAGUGUAGCGGUGAAAUGCGUAGAUAUUAGGAAGAACACCAGUGGCGAAGGCGACUUUCUGGACGAAAACUGACGCUGAGGCGCGAAAGCCAGGGGAGCGAACGGGAUUAGAUACCCCAGUAGUCCCUGUCUCUUAUACA